CCAGCUGAAUUUAAGCAUAUAACUAAGCGGAGGAAAAGAAACUAACGAGGAUUUCUCUAGUAACGGCGAGUGAACGGGGAAAACCCCAGCGCUGAUUCCAUUGGCUGUCGCUUGGAAUUUGAGCGUAUAGGUGCGGUUGUCCGUUCGUUUCGCGCACCCAAAGUCUCCUUGAGUGGGGCUAUAGCCCAAAGAAGGUGCUAGACCUGUACGGGUAGCGAGACGAUCGAUUGGUUGCUCCUUGUAGUCGGGUUGCCUGGGAUCGCAGCCUAAAGUUGGUGGUAGGCCUCAUCUAAGGCUAAAUAUGGUCACGAAACCGAUAGCAGACAAGUACCUUGAGGGAAAGUUGCAAAGAACUUUGAAGAGAGAGUUCAAGUGGGCGUGAAACCGCUGAGAUUGAAACGGAUAGAGUUGACUUAACUCGGCUGCAUUCAUCCGGCCGGUCUAGUGGUCCAACGGUUUUGACUUCCUCGAAGAGGGCGAAGCCGCCGGCAACUGGUGGGCAUUUGAUCGGUGUAUUUGCGGCUGAUAUGCGCUGAGAGGUUUUGCGAUCGCGUGUUGACAAACGUGCAGUGGACCAUUCCUUCCGGGUGUGGAAAUCUUCGCGCUUUGAGACAUGUCGGUUGUAAGGUUUUGAAGGUGUCGUCUCCGCUAUGGUGCGUCAGCUUUUUCGUGCUGUUGUGGCUGCCGGAUGGUCGCAUGCGACUGUCUGCAGUCAUCGAUGGUGCGACAGGAGUGUGGACGCGGCGAGGCGUUGAUUCCCAUGUGAACUUCGACCACCUAUCCGAUCUGUCUUGAAACACGGACCAAGGAGUCCAGCAUAUGCGCGAGUCAUUGGGUGAUAAACCUAAAGGCGUAAUGAAAGUAAAAGUCGCCCCGAUGCGACCGAUAUGGGAUCCAUGCGAUUUUUGAAGCUGCACGGCGCAUCAUAGCCCCGUCCACGUUGCCUGCAAUAGGGUGGAGGUAGAGCGUAUAUGCUGGGACCCGAAAGAUGGUGAACUAUGCCUGAGCAGAAUGAAGCCCGAGGAAACUCUGGUGGAAGUCCGAAGCGGUUCUGAUGUGCAAAUCGAUCGUCUGACUUGGGUAUAGGGGCGAAAGACUAAUAGGACCAUCUAGUAGCUGGUUCCCUCUGAAGUUACCCUCAGGAUAGCUGGAGUUCGUGUGGUGCAGUUAUAUUCGGUAAAGCGAAUGAUUAGAGGAAUUGGGGACGAAACGACCUCAACCUAUUCUUACACUUUCAGUGGGUAUGAAGUCCCGCUUGCUUGACGUUGCUGAAGCGUGGACACUGAAUGUGAGCUCCAAGUGGGCCAUUUUUGGUAACCAGAACUGGCGCUGUGGGAUGAACCAAACGUCGGGUUAAAGUGCCAAACUUCCCGCUCAUGAGACCGCAUGAAAGGCGUUGGUUGAUAUAGACAGCAGGACGGUGGCCAUGGAAGUCGGAAUCCGCUAAGGAGUGUAUAACAACUCAAAUGCCGAAUCAACUAGCCCUGAAAAUGGAUGGCGCUUGAGCGGGAGACUUAUACCCGACCAAAGCCGAGUUGAAUUCGAUGAAAUAUGCUCGAGCGUAUACGACUCUAAAAAACUGGUGGAAACAGUAGAAC
RNAcentral lists this non-coding RNA (1598 nucleotides) under Toxocara canis (dog roundworm). RNAcentral describes it as "Eukaryotic large subunit ribosomal RNA". It matches the Rfam family "Eukaryotic large subunit ribosomal RNA", at positions 24 to 1403 of the family's 3401-position model. The record is from Rfam by way of RNAcentral. Lineage: Eukaryota; Metazoa; Nematoda; Chromadorea; Rhabditida; Toxocaridae.